Molecule: ribosomal RNA, 252 nt
Filed under: uncultured bacterium
Lineage: Bacteria
Description: partial 16S ribosomal RNA
Rfam family: Bacterial small subunit ribosomal RNA
Source: RNAcentral
UACAGAGGUCUCAAGCGUUGUUCGGAUUCAUUGGGCGUAAAGGGUGCGUAGGCGGCGCGGUAAGUCGGGUGUGAAAUCUCGGAGCUUAACUCCGAAACUGCAUUCGAUACUGCCGUGCUUGAGGACUGGAGAGGAGACUGGAAUUACGGUGUAGCGGUGAAAUGCGUAGAUAUCGUAAGGAAGACCAGUGGCGAAGGCGGCAUCCUGGACCAUGACUGACGCUGAGGAGCGAAAGCCAGGGGAGCAAACGGG